Non-coding RNA from Monodelphis domestica (gray short-tailed opossum), 72 nucleotides. The record is from Rfam. NCBI's taxonomy places the organism in Eukaryota, Metazoa, Chordata, Mammalia, Didelphimorphia, Didelphidae.
GGCUGGGUAGCUCAGUGGAUUGAGAGCCAAGCCUAGAGGUGGGAGGUCCUGGUUCGAAUCCGGCUUCAGCCA